UGCUGUGUUCCUGGCACCCACUGAGUUCUCAGAGUCUGUCAAAAUUCAGGGUGUGUGGAUAGACAGUGCACACGUGACCCAUUUCCCAGGAUCCACAUCAAACAGGCUGCUUAUGAAAACCACUUUAAAUUAGAAAAGGGCCCGGGGCGCGGCCCACCUCCUCCCGGUGGCACACACGGAUUCGCGUCUUGAUGUAGGGGAAGGCGUGGUCUGUGCUGAGCAGAGUCUUGCGUUUGUGCUGUUCCGGCAGCUCCCCGUGCGCACGCCCGUCGGGUGUGAAGGGCGUGCAGAACAGGAAGGUGCGCAGCCCGUAGUUGCGGUCGAAGUAGGUCACCCGGUCCUUGAGCUCAUAGGUGUCGAAGUGCGGUUCCACGUAAGUGAUCUG
Molecule: long non-coding RNA, 385 nt
Organism: Ailuropoda melanoleuca (giant panda)
Lineage: Eukaryota; Metazoa; Chordata; Mammalia; Carnivora; Ursidae
Exons: 2
Source: RefSeq, a predicted model, not a curated record